GACGAACGCUGGCGGCGUGCUUAACACAUGCAAGUCGAACGGAAAGGCCCUGCUUUUGUGGGGUGCUCGAGUGGCGAACGGGUGAGUAACACGUGAGUAACCUGCCCCUGACUUUGGGAUAACUUCAGGAAACUGGGGCUAAUACCGGAUAGGAGCUCCUGCUGCAUGGUGGGGGCUGGAAAGUUUCGGCGGUUGGGGAUGGACUCGCGGCGUAUCAGCUUGUUGGUGGGGUAGUGGCUUACCAAGGCUUUGACGGGUAGCCGGCCUGAGAGGGUGACCGGCCACAUUGGGACUGAGAUACGGCCCAGACUCCUACGGGAGGCAGCAGUGGGGAAUAUUGCACAAUGGGCGGAAGCCUGAUGCAGCAACGCCGCGUGCGGGAUGACGGCCUUCGGGUUGUAAACCGCUUUCGCCUGUGACGAAGCGUGAGUGACGGUAAUGGGUAAAGAAGCACCGGCUAACUACGUG
This 468-nucleotide ribosomal RNA is filed under the name uncultured bacterium. Its description in RNAcentral is "partial 16S ribosomal RNA". It matches the Rfam family "Bacterial small subunit ribosomal RNA", at positions 28 to 507 of the family's 1533-position model. The record is from RNAcentral.